Molecule: non-coding RNA, 750 nt
Organism: Pelobates cultripes (western spadefoot toad)
Lineage: Eukaryota; Metazoa; Chordata; Amphibia; Anura; Pelobatidae
Source: the annotation of a GenBank genome assembly
CACCUCCACGAAAGGGAAAGGCUGGAGUAGCAGGCCCCAGCAGGCCCGGCGCAUUGGUGCCCGUAGGUGGACAGGUCUACGCGGCCUGCAACACUGAACCCACUCACGAGACUGCAUACCGCAUACCGCAGAUACGAACCCACCCCAGCAGAUGGCGCCGCAGGAACCCACAGCAAAACCAGCCCAACUGGGCUCCAACAGAUACUCCAAGAGGCGCACAAAGAGGAGCUGAGAGGAGACAUAGAGACACACAAAGAGGAGCUCAGAGGAGACAUAGAGACACAUAGAGGGCUGAGGGGCACAUAGACACACAGAGGGGCUGGGGGCACAAAAAAACACACAGAAGGGCUGGUGGCACAAAGAGGAACAUAGAAGCACUUGGGGGGCAAAGAGAAACAGAGGGGCUGGGGAAGGGGAAAAAAGAGACACACAAAGGAGUUGGGGAGACCAGACACACAUAAGGGCUGUGGAGAGAGAGACACAAAAGGGAAGGGAAAAAAAUAGACACACAAAGGAAAUAGAUGCCUGCUGGUGGAAGAAAGAGGCCAGUCACAGUUGCCAGCACCAGUCAGCUGGCUAGCCACAGAAGCCAGCCUGCCUGCCAAACAGCCACAGUAGCCUGCCAGCCAACCAAAGCAGCCAGCCAGUCGGCCACAGCAGCCAGCUGGCCACAGCAGCCAACCAACAACAGUAAUUAAGGUUAGAAGAGGCAGCUUGAGCUGGGUAUCACAGAGCUGUGUUACAUCACCA